Melospiza melodia melodia is the source of this 507-nucleotide non-coding RNA. The record is from the annotation of a RefSeq genome assembly. Lineage: Eukaryota; Metazoa; Chordata; Aves; Passeriformes; Passerellidae.
CGGGCGGCCGUGACCCUGCUGGAGUGCGGGGGGGACCUCCAGCCCCCCGGGGGGUCCCUGCGCCUCCUCUGCCGAGGGGCCGGGUUCAGUUUUGGGAGUUUUGCCAUGCAAUGGGUCCGCCAGAGACCCGGGCAGCGGCUGGAGUGGCUCGCGGGGAUCAGCAGCCCUGGUUCUUACACCGAGUACGCGCCGUCGGUCAAGGGCCGGUUCACGAUCUCCAGGGACAACGGGCAGAGCUCGGUGACGCUGACCAUGAACAACCUCAAGGACGAGGAUUCCGGAUCCUAUUUCUGUGGCAAGGGUUCUCAAACUGGUUGGGCUGAAAGUGCCGCUUUUAGUGACGAUGCCCAAGCUGUCCCCAUCCCCAUCCCCGUGUCCCCCUCUGUCCCCAUUCCCCAGACCCUUCCCCCAGACCCCCAGCCCACACCCAGCCCUUGGCCAUUGAUCCCAACCUUGCUCUGCCUCGGCCCCAAUUCUCACCCGCUGACCCCAAACCACAACUCCUGA